Molecule: ribosomal RNA, 460 nt
Filed under: uncultured Bacteroidota bacterium
Lineage: Bacteria; Pseudomonadati; Bacteroidota
Description: uncultured Bacteroidetes bacterium partial 16S ribosomal RNA
Source: RNAcentral
GACUACCGGGGUAUCUAAUCCUGUUUGCUCCCCACGCUUUCGUGCAUCAGCGUCAGUUAUGGCUUAGUGAGCUGCCUUCGCAAUCGGUGUUCUGUGUCAUAUCUAAGCAUUUCACCGCUACAUGACACAUUCCGCCCACUUCAAUCAUACUCAAGACUAUCAGUAUCAAUGGCAGUUUCCCAGUUGAGCUGGGAGCUUUCACCACUGACUUAAUAACCCGCCUACGCACCCUUUAAACCCAAUAAAUCCGGAUAACGCUUGGGACCUUCGUAUUACCGCGGCUGCUGGCACGAAGUUAGCCGUCCCUUAUUCUUUCGGUACAUUCAACCUCUCACACGUGAAAGGGUUUAUUCCCGAACAAAAGCAGUUUACAAUGCAGAGCACCUUCAUCCUGCACGCGGCAUGGCUGGAUCAGCCUUGCGGCCAUUGUCCAAUAUUCCUUACUGCAGCCCCCCGUAGG